UCGAGGAUCUUCGGCAAUGGGCGCAAGCCUGACCGAGCGACGCCGCGUGUGCGAUGAAGGCCUUCGGGUUGUAAAGCACUGUCGAGGGGGAUAAAACCCGCAAGGGUUGAUAGAUCCCUGGAGGUAGCACGGGCUAAGUUCGUGCCAGCAGCCGCGGUAAGACGAACCGUGCGAACGUUGUUCGGAAUCACUGGGCUUAAAGGGCGCGUAGGCGGUUUGCCAAGUCAGGGGUGAAAUCCUGCAGCUCAACUGUAGAAGUGCCUUUGAUACUGGCGAACUCGAGGGAGGUAGGGGUGGGUGGAACUUCUGGUGGAGCGGUGAAAUGCGUUGAUAUCAGAAGGAACGCCGGUGGCGAAAGCGACCCACUGGACCUUUUCUAACGCUGAGGCGCGAAAGCUAGGGGAGCAAACGG
Molecule: ribosomal RNA, 412 nt
Filed under: uncultured bacterium
Lineage: Bacteria
Description: bacterial SSU rRNA
Rfam family: Bacterial small subunit ribosomal RNA
Source: RNAcentral